GUUUUUUGUAUUUUUU
RNAcentral lists this small RNA (16 nucleotides) under Arabidopsis thaliana (thale cress). Its description in RNAcentral is "ATSL251040". Lineage: Eukaryota; Viridiplantae; Streptophyta; Magnoliopsida; Brassicales; Brassicaceae. The record is from RNAcentral.